Molecule: unclassified non-coding RNA, 1993 nt
Filed under: Hevea brasiliensis (rubber tree)
Lineage: Eukaryota; Viridiplantae; Streptophyta; Magnoliopsida; Malpighiales; Euphorbiaceae
Source: RNAcentral
AAAAAUGACCAAAUAGAUAGGCUGCUGCAAUUGUAUGAUCCAUUAAAAAAACACCUCUUUUUUUUCAUUUUCUUUCAAAUCUUAUUUAGACGCUUCUCUUUCCAUGUCCUCAUCUCUGUCUUUCUUGGUAUAUAUACGCAAUGGUUUUGCUUUAGAAGAGAGAAGAGAUUGAAAUGGAAACAAAAAUGCAAAGAAAUGCUCUGGUUUUGUCCCUGCAAGUUUGUUUCUUGAUCAUCUUCUUAACCCAUGUCAGUGGAGAGAAUUCUCGAUUUGAUGAUCAUUUCCAUGAUCAAAAGCGAAAAAUGCAAGCCUUUAAGUCAUCUUUAAUCCGUCGUGAAUUGGCUUCUUCUCCCUCUCCUUCUCCUAGCUAUUAUUCUUCUCCAGCUCCAUCACCACAGACUGUGACUGUGGAUAGUACACGAGUGUUUGAAGCGACAUCGUUUGGUGCAGAUCCAAGUGGGAAAUUGGACAGCGCAGAAGCACUUGAAAAAGCAAUAGCAGCAGCAUUUCAGGGUCCAAAAGAAUGGUUCUUGAUGGAUGGAAUCACUAAUCUUGGAGGUGCACAAAUUCGUCUUCAGGGUGGGAUUUACAAGGUUUCUCAACCUCUGAAAUUGCCUGCUGGUGGAGCAGGGAACCUUAUGAUUACAGGAGGGACAUUACUAGCCUCAGAUGAUUUUCCAACAGAUGGGUAUCUCAUUGAUUUAUCAUCAUCUUCCUCCUCCUCCUCCUAUAACUACGAGUACAUAACUCUCAAGGACCUGAUGCUGGAUUGCAAUUACAGGGGUGGAGGCAUUUCAGUUAUAAACUCACUUAGGACUAGCAUAGACAACUGUUACAUUGCACAUUUCAACACUAAUGGAAUUUUAGUCCAAAAAGGCCAUGAAACCUACAUCAGAAACUCAUUUCUUGGCCAGCACAUUACUGCCGGUGCCAAUCCAGGCGAAAGGAACUUCUCAGGCACUGCAAUAAACCUAAUGGGAAACGACAACGCCGUGACGGAUGUUGUUAUCUUCUCAGCUGCCAUUGGAAUAAUGGUUUCUGGUCAGGGUAAUACAAUUUCAGGAGUACAUUGUUAUAAUAAGGCUACAGGCUUUGGCGGCACUGGAAUUUACCUUAAGCUGCCUAAUCUAACUCAGACCAGGAUUUUGAAUUGUUAUUUGGACUACACUGGAAUUGUUGCUGAAGAUCCUAAUCAACUUACCAUCACUAACAGUUUUUUCCUUGGUGAUGCAUAUAUAGUCCUGAAAUCGAUCAACGGGGUUGCUAAAGGGAUCACCAUCGUUGAUAACAUUUUUUCUGGGUCUAAUAAGGGGAUUGACAUUGUUCAAUUGGAGCAAUCAAGUGGUCCUUUCAAGGAAAUUGAUCAAGUUGUGGUGGAUAGGAAUAAUGUUCAGGGGAUGAACAUGAGGGCAACCAUUGCUAAGGAAUCUGUUCAAGGGAAUGGGACAUCAUGGAUUGUUGAUUUUAGUCCAAUUCUAUUAUUUCCUGACCUUAUCAAUCAUGUUCAAUACUCAUUGAGUGUAAAUGGUACCUUAUUUCCUAAUUAUGCUCUUCGCAGUGUUUCCGAAAAUCGGGUUGUGAUAGAAUCAGAUGUUGCAGUGGCUGCUAAGGUUUUCGUCUCGGUGAAUCAAGCAGUAACAAUUUGAUGCUCUGCUUUGAUUUUUACAUCUAAAAGUUUGGAAGCAGCAAUAUUGUGAAGGUUAAUGUCAUCUGAAACAGAACGCUAAUUACACGUGGCAAUAAAACAUUGAGACAUAUAUUCAGGUUAAUUAUAUCAGCUCCAAGAAAAUUCGGAAGAACCAUCAAUAUUCAAGGGCUAAUUUGAUGUCCUGCCUGAGGAGGGGCAAAAAUGGGGGAAAAACAAGGCUUCGAUUUCCUUUGGUUAUGAUUGUAUCAUCAUGGGUUCUUUUUAUUUAGCAUGAAUUGUGUAUAUAUCGAAUUAUAUUCAUUUGAUUCCAAACACAAUCACUAAAAUCUAAUUUUAGUGAAUAAA